GACGAACGCUGGCGGCGUGCUUAACACAUGCAAGUCGAACGGAAAGGCCCUGCUUUUGUGGGGUGCUCGAGUGGCGAACGGGUGAGUAGCACGUGAGUAACCUGCCCUUGACUUUGGGAUAACUUCAGGAAACUGGGGCUAAUACCGGAUAGGAGCUCCUGCUGCAUGGUGGGGGUUGGAAAGUUUCGGCGGUUCGGGAUGGACUCGCGGCUUAUCAGCUUGUUGGUGGGGUAGUGGCUUACCAAGGCUUUGACGGGUAGCCGGCCUGAGAGGGUGACCGGCCACAUUGGGACUGAGAUACGGCCCAGACUCCUACGGGAGGCAGCAGUGGGGAAUAUUGCACAAUGGGCGGAAGCCUGAUGCAGCAACGCCGCGUGCGGGAUGACGGCCUUCGGGUUGUAAACCGCUUUCGCCUGUGACGAAGCGUGAGUGACGGUAAUGGGUAAAGAAGCACCGGCUAACUACGUG
This 468-nucleotide ribosomal RNA is filed under the name uncultured bacterium. RNAcentral describes it as "partial 16S ribosomal RNA". It matches the Rfam family "Bacterial small subunit ribosomal RNA", at positions 28 to 507 of the family's 1533-position model. The record is from RNAcentral.